RNAcentral lists this ribosomal RNA (262 nucleotides) under uncultured bacterium. Its description in RNAcentral is "partial 16S ribosomal RNA". It matches the Rfam family "Bacterial small subunit ribosomal RNA", at positions 793 to 1055 of the family's 1533-position model. The record is from RNAcentral.
GUCCACGCCCUAAACGAUGUCAACUGGUUGUUGGGUGGGUAACCACUUAGUAACGAAGCUAACGCGUGAAGUUGACCGCCUGGGGAGUACGGUCGCAAGAUUAAAACUCAAAGGAAUUGACGGGGACCCGCACAAGCGGUGGAUGAUGUGGUUUAAUUCGAUGCAACGCGAAAAACCUUACCUACACUUGACAUGCCAGAAAUCCCGCAGAGAUGUGGGAGUGCCGCAAGGAAUCUGGGCACAGGUGCUGCAUGGCUGUCGU